RNAcentral lists this unclassified non-coding RNA (404 nucleotides) under soil metagenome. RNAcentral's name for it is "partial contains 5.8S ribosomal RNA, internal transcribed spacer 2, and large subunit ribosomal RNA". The stretch from base 1 to 121 matches the Rfam family "5.8S ribosomal RNA", at positions 35 to 154 of the family's 154-position model. The record is from RNAcentral.
GAUGAAGAACGCAGCGAAAUGCGAUAAGUAAUGUGAAUUGCAGAAUUCAGUGAAUCAUCGAAUCUUUGAACGCACCUUGCGCCCUUUGGACAUUCCGAAGGGCAUGCCUGUUUGAGUAUCAUGAACACCUCAACUCUCACGGCUUGUCCGUGAUGAGCUUGGACUUUGGGGGUCUUGCCGGCCUGUGGUCGGCUCCUCUCAAAUGGAUCAGCUUGCCAGUGUUUGGUGGCAUCACAGGUGUGAUAACUAUCUGCGCUUGUGGUUUUCCAUCAGAUAACCUUCAGUGAUAUGGAGGUUCGCUGGAGCUCACAAAUGUCUCUCCUUAGUGAGGACAGCUCUUUGAACGUUUGAUCUCAAAUCAGGUAGGACUACCCGCUGAACUUAAGCAUAUCAAUAAGGGAGGA